RNAcentral lists this ribosomal RNA (508 nucleotides) under uncultured bacterium. RNAcentral describes it as "partial 16S ribosomal RNA". It matches the Rfam family "Bacterial small subunit ribosomal RNA", at positions 30 to 523 of the family's 1533-position model. The record is from RNAcentral.
AUUGAACGCUGGCGGCAUGCCUUACACAUGCAAGUCGAACGGCAGCGGGGGAGAAGCUUGCUUUUCCUGCCGGCGAGUGGCGAACGGGUGAGUAAUACAUCGGAACGUGCCCGAUCGUGGGGGAUAACGCAGCGAAAGCUGUGCUAAUACCGCAUACGAUCUACGGAUGAAAGCGGGGGAUCUUCGGACCUCGCGCGGACGGAGCGGCCGAUGGCAGAUUAGGUAGUUGGUGAGGUAAAGGCUCACCAAGCCGACGAUCUGUAGCUGGUCUGAGAGGACGACCAGCCACACUGGGACUGAGACACGGCCCAGACUCCUACGGGAGGCAGCAGUGGGGAAUUUUGGACAAUGGGCGCAAGCCUGAUCCAGCCAUGCCGCGUGCAGGAUGAAGGCCUUCGGGUUGUAAACUGCUUUUGUACGGAACGAAAAGGUUCUUUCUAAUAAAGAGAGCUCAUGACGGUACCGUAAGAAUAAGCACCGGCUAACUACGUGCCAGCAGCCGCAGUAA